RNAcentral lists this ribosomal RNA (572 nucleotides) under Curvularia papendorfii. RNAcentral's name for it is "eukaryotic LSU rRNA". The stretch from base 196 to 349 matches the Rfam family "5.8S ribosomal RNA". Lineage: Eukaryota; Fungi; Ascomycota; Dothideomycetes; Pleosporales; Pleosporaceae. The record is from RNAcentral.
UUCCGUUAGGGGGACCUGCGGAGGGAUCAUUACACAAUACAAUAUGAAGGCUGUCCGCAGCUGGAGUAUUUUAUUACCCUUGUCUUUUGCGCACUUGUUGUUUCCUGGGCGGGUUCGCUCGCCACCAGGACCACCAAAUAAACCUUUUUUAUGCAGUUGCAAUCAGCGUCAGUACAAACAAUGUAAAUCAUUUACAACUUUCAACAACGGAUCUCUUGGUUCUGGCAUCGAUGAAGAACGCAGCGAAAUGCGAUACGUAGUGUGAAUUGCAGAAUUCAGUGAAUCAUCGAAUCUUUGAACGCACAUUGCGCCCUUUGGUAUUCCAAAGGGCAUGCCUGUUCGAGCGUCAUUUGUACCCUCAAGCUUUGCUUGGUGUUGGGCGUUUUUGUCUUUGGUCGCCCAAAGACUCGCCUUAAAGUGAUUGGCAGCCGGCCUUUCUGGUUUCGCAGCGCAGCACAUUUUUGCGCUUGCCAUCAGCAAAACGGCAAUCCAUCAAGCCUCCUUCUCACGUUUGACCUCGGAUCAGGUAGGGAUACCCGCUGAACUUAAGCAUAUCAAUAGCCCGGGAGGAA